GCAGCAGUGGGGAAUCUUGCGCAAUGGGCGAAAGCCUGACGCAGCCAUGCCGCGUGAAUGAUGAAGGUCUUAGGAUUGUAAAAUUCUUUCACCGGGGACGAUAAUGACGGUACCCGGAGAAGAAGCCCCGGCUAACUUCGUGCCAGCAGCCGCGGUAAUACGAAGGGGGCUAGCGUUGCUCGGAAUUACUGGGCGUAAAGGGAGCGUAGGCGGACAUUUAAGUCAGGGGUGAAAUCCCGGGGCUCAACCUCGGAAUUGCCUUUGAUACUGGGUGUCUUGAGUAUGAGAGAGGUGUGUGGAACUCCGAGUGUAGAGGUGAAAUUCGUAGAUAUUCGGAAGAACACCAGUGGCGAAGGCGACACACUGGCUCAUUACUGACGCUGAGGCUCGAAAGCGUGGGGAGCAAACAGGAUUAGAUACCCUGGUAGUCCACGCCGUAAACGAUGAUUGCUAGUUGUCGGGAUGCAUGCAUUUCGGUGACGCAGCUAACGCAUAAGCAAUCCGC
This 505-nucleotide ribosomal RNA is filed under the name uncultured Brevundimonas sp. RNAcentral describes it as "bacterial SSU rRNA". It matches the Rfam family "Bacterial small subunit ribosomal RNA", at positions 348 to 872 of the family's 1533-position model. The record is from RNAcentral. Lineage: Bacteria; Pseudomonadati; Pseudomonadota; Alphaproteobacteria; Caulobacterales; Caulobacteraceae.